RNAcentral lists this ribosomal RNA (253 nucleotides) under uncultured bacterium. Its description in RNAcentral is "partial 16S ribosomal RNA". It matches the Rfam family "Bacterial small subunit ribosomal RNA", at positions 524 to 776 of the family's 1533-position model. The record is from RNAcentral.
UACGUAGGAGGCAAGCGUUAUCCGGAUUUAUUGGGCGUAAAGAGCGCGUAGGCGGCCUAUUAAGUCGGUUGUGAAAUCUCCCGGCUUAACUGGGAGAGGUCAGCCGAAACUGGUAGGCUUGAGGACAGCAGAGGGAGGUGGAAUUCCCGGUGUAGUGGUGAAAUGCGUAGAUAUCGGGAGGAACACCAGUGGCGAAGGCGGCCUCCUGGGCUGUUCCUGACGCUGAGGCGCGAAAGCGUGGGGAGCAAACAGG